RNAcentral lists this unclassified non-coding RNA (447 nucleotides) under uncultured fungus. Its description in RNAcentral is "partial contains 5.8S ribosomal RNA, internal transcribed spacer 2, and large subunit ribosomal RNA". Lineage: Eukaryota; Fungi. The record is from RNAcentral.
AACGCAUAUUGCGCUCUCUGGUAUUCCGGGGAGCAUGCUUGUUUGAGAACCGUUUAAACCCUUCACCCGAUCCGUCUUUAUUAUGUAAAGGAGGAGAGUGGUGGAUUUGGUUGUUUUUUGCCGGGGAUAAUAACCUAGCGAAUCGACUGAAACGCAGCGACUGGAGCCUUCCGCGUGCAACCCGGUGGAGCGUUUGGCCGAGUUUCUCUGACCGACAAGACGAGGAUAAAAUGCGAGAUUCAGUUCUCCUUUGCGAACCGUCCAAGGUCGGGAAACAAUGGUUAAACCAUACAUUUCUCCGUCAAAAGAGAGAGUAACCAGCAGGCGCACCCUCAUUUUGAGAAGAAGGUAGACGGCCCAAAUCAAACAUGCCAGGCGCGGGCGCAAAACCCCGUGAACACCUGAAAUUUUGGUCUCAAAUCAAGCAAGAAAACCCGCUGAACUUAA